This 950-nucleotide ribosomal RNA is filed under the name uncultured bacterium. Its description in RNAcentral is "bacterial SSU rRNA". It matches the Rfam family "Bacterial small subunit ribosomal RNA", at positions 485 to 1428 of the family's 1533-position model. The record is from RNAcentral.
AAUAAGCAAGGGUAAAUUCCGUGCCAGCAGCCGCGGUAACACGGGGGUUGCAAGCGUUGUCCGGAAUUACUAGGCGUAAAGGGCAGGUAGGCGGAUCUACGAGUUUUUUGUUAAAGGCUACGGCUCAACUGUAGUAGAGCAGGAGAUACUGUAGGUCUGGAAUGCGGUAGGGGAAGACAGAAUUCCUGGUGUAGCGGUGGAAUGCGCAGAGAUCAGGAGGAAUACCGAAGGCGAAGGCAGUCUUCUAGGCCGUAGUUGACGCUUAACUGCGAAGGUGUGGGGAUCAAACAGGAUUAGAUACCCUGGUAGUCCACACAGUAAACGAUAAUCACUAGAUGUCGGGUUCUAGAUGGAUUCGGUGUUGGAGCCAACGCGAUAAGUGAUUCGCCUGGGGAGUACGAUCGCAAGGUUGAAACUCAAAGGAAUUGACGGGGGCCCGCACAAGCGGUGGAGCAUGUGGUUUAAUUCGAGGCAACGCGAAGAACCUUACCCGGUUUUGACAUCCACGGGAGGCUUCAGAGAUGGAGCUGUGCCGGCGUAAGCUGGAGCCGUGAGACAGGUGCUGCAUGGCUGUCGUCAGCUCGUGUCGUGAGAUGUUGGGUUAAGUCCCGCAACGAGCGCAACCCUUGCCUUCAGUUACCAUCAUUAAGUUGGGGACUCUGGAGGGACCGCUGCGGUAACAACGCAGAGGAAGAUGGGGACGACGUCAAGUCAUCAUGGUCCUUAUGGCCGGGGCUACACACGUGCUACAAUGGCAGUUACAGAGGGAUGCGAUUCAGUAAUGAGGAGCGAAACUCAGAAAAGCUGCCGCAGUUCGGAUUGAGGUCUGCAACUCGGCCUCAUGAAGUCGGAAUCGCUAGUAAUCGCGCAACAUCAUGGCGCGGUGAAUACGUUCCCGGGCCUUGUACACACCGCCCGUCAAGCCAUGGGAGUUGGUAACACCCGAAGUC